UCUAAUAUGACAGAAAAGUGUACUGGAUUUAAACCCCAAUAAUAGAAAUUUUAAUUUCUUUUUAGAA
Molecule: transfer RNA, 67 nt
Filed under: Scolytinae sp. BMNH 1043123
Lineage: Eukaryota; Metazoa; Arthropoda; Insecta; Coleoptera; Curculionidae
Description: tRNA-Leu
Source: RNAcentral